UUAAAUUGAAGAGUUUGAUCAUGGCUCAGAUUGAACGCUGGCGGCAGGCCUAACACAUGCAAGUCGAACGGUAACAGGAAGCAGCUUGCUGCUUUGCUGACGAGUGGCGGACGGGUGAGUAAUGUCUGGGAAACUGCCUGAUGGAGGGGGAUAACUACUGGAAACGGUAGCUAAUACCGCAUAACGUCGCAAGACCAAAGAGGGGGACCUUCGGGCCUCUUGCCAUCGGAUGUGCCCAGAUGGGAUUAGCUAGUAGGUGGGGUAACGGCUCACCUAGGCGACGAUCCCUAGCUGGUCUGAGAGGAUGACCAGCCACACUGGAACUGAGACACGGUCCAGACUCCUACGGGAGGCAGCAGUGGGGAAUAUUGCACAAUGGGCGCAAGCCUGAUGCAGCCAUGCCGCGUGUAUGAAGAAGGCCUUCGGGUUGUAAAGUACUUUCAGCGGGGAGGAAGG
This 456-nucleotide ribosomal RNA is filed under the name Enterobacter cloacae. RNAcentral's name for it is "bacterial SSU rRNA". It matches the Rfam family "Bacterial small subunit ribosomal RNA", at positions 1 to 451 of the family's 1533-position model. The record is from RNAcentral. RNAcentral also lists the same sequence under 1 other name. Lineage: Bacteria; Pseudomonadati; Pseudomonadota; Gammaproteobacteria; Enterobacterales; Enterobacteriaceae.